AAUCUGCCUCUAUCCAUGGCAGCCCUUCUUAUUUUAAUGUUCUCACUCUUACCCACAAACUAAAUUUACAUUUCUUGCUGUUAUAAAUUUUAUAUUUUUGUGUGUGGAGAAACAUUCCAUCAAGAAGACUGAAGCCCAGUAAACUCCCAAAGACAAGACUUUCAGAAGGUCUGAAGACAAGUCACAUCAAACCACUGACCUAAGAAAAAUGGAAUUAAUGUUGCAACUGCAUUCUCCUAACUUCUCACUGGACUUGAGAUGGCUGCUUGCUUCACUAUGGGUCCUAAGGUUACACAGGAAGGCUUCUGCCAGACACUUUCUGCCAGGUUUCCAAUGGCAGGUAUGGUCAAGAGAGACACUGGAAGAUGGAAGUUACUUCAGUGUUCCAGUUGCUGGUGUAGCCAGGGCUUCACAGCGUGGAAGUAUGGCAUCAUGAUGUCUACUGCACAUCUAUUCCCAACCCCAUAUUCAGUUGUUUCAUGUAGUCUCUUGAAAUCUAUGGAAACUAGAAAACACUACAAAUAAAGCCUUGAUUUAUUGUUUUGUUGAUUGUCUUGACUUAAGAAACUGAUAGACAAUGUGUUAUUAAUGCAGAUUAAACUUAAAAAUGUUUACCUCAGUGGCCGUUAUACUGUGAAUACCACAAAAACUGAGCAAAUAUUUUUCUAGUAUUUGAAAAGUAUUAUCCAAUUCAGCAAAUAAUGUCACUUUUAAGUGAAUAAAGUAUGGGCAUGCCUUCAUUGCUUUAGUUUCUUGUUACUUGUAAACACACACAAGUAUAGCAACCUAACAUUUAUGCUUAAACUAUACUCAGUAGUCAAUUACAAUCAUAGAUUAGCUUUGGCCAUAAGAGAUCAGCAAAAAUCAACAAAGCAUAUCAAUUGGCUAUAUGAAAUUUUCAAUGUGCAUUGUAUGUUUUGUUAUUAUUUUAAAAUUGUGUUAUAUUUUUUAACUUUAAAACUUACAACACAAAUAUGUAAGUAUAUGUGUAUAUACACAUGCAUACACACACUCACAAUUGAGGGUUUUUGGCGUAGAAGGAGACAAACCAGAGGUUAAACAUUUGCCAGCACAUCACUGCUGAUAACUAAGCUGCUACUGUAUAACAAAUACCUGUUGAGGAAUAUGUGUCCCACACACUGCCCAUUUAUUUUGAUUUGGAAUAGUGAAUUCUUUAUGUCACAAAAGCCUUCAUAUUAUAGAGGUUUCUAGGUGAAAACAUAUUUUUUAAAGUGCCUAUCAUUGAUGGUAAGAUUGGAGACCCUUUUUAGAUACCCUUAAAUCAGAUCUGAUAAAAUUUGACUAUCCA
Molecule: long non-coding RNA, 1309 nt
Filed under: Homo sapiens (human)
Lineage: Eukaryota; Metazoa; Chordata; Mammalia; Primates; Hominidae
Description: non-protein coding lnc-PIK3C3-18:3
Source: RNAcentral